AUGCGAUUUGCAGUUGGAAUUUCCACAGUGGGAAUGUCUCGGCGUCCUUCAACUUCUCUAUAUCCCUCACCUCCAGCAGUCUUGUCGUCGUGCUUGCUUCCAUUUUUGCAGCUUAUCAAACAGUCUCCUUUUCUCUUCUCCCUUGAAAUUUGUUACUUCAAGAGAGGCGUUUUUCGCGGCACUUCUGACGUCACGAAAAUUCAGGUAUUGAUCGUGGCACUUUUGACUUCACGAAAAAUUCAGGCGUUUAUCGUGGCACUUUUGACUUCACGAAAAAAAAAAUUCGGGCGUUUAUCGUGGCACUUUUGACUUCACGAA
Molecule: long non-coding RNA, 318 nt
Filed under: Bemisia tabaci
Lineage: Eukaryota; Metazoa; Arthropoda; Insecta; Hemiptera; Aleyrodidae
Description: lncRNA ENSSSA1NGG006988
Source: RNAcentral